This 253-nucleotide ribosomal RNA is filed under the name uncultured bacterium. RNAcentral describes it as "partial 16S ribosomal RNA". It matches the Rfam family "Bacterial small subunit ribosomal RNA", at positions 524 to 776 of the family's 1533-position model. The record is from RNAcentral.
UACAGAGGUCUCAAGCGUUGUUCGGAUUCAUUGGGCGUAAAGGGUGCGUAGGUGGCGUGGCAAGUCGGGUGUGAAAUUUCGGAGCUUAACUCCGAAACUGCAUUCGAUACUGCUGUGCUUGAGGACUGGAGAGGAGACUGGAAUUUACGGUGUAGCAGUGAAAUGCGUAGAGAUCGUAAGGAAGACCAGUGGCGAAGGCGGGUCUCUGGACAGUUCCUGACACUGAGGCACGAAGGCCAGGGGAGCAAACGGG